CCUACGGGAGGCAGCAGUGGGGAAUAUUGCACAAUGGGCGAAAGCCUGAUGCAGCAACGCCGCGUGAGUGAUGAAGGCCUUCGGGUCGUAAAACUCUGUCCUCAAGGAAGAUAAUGACGGUACUUGAGGAGGAAGCCCCGGCUAACUACGUGCCAGCAGCCGCGGUAAUACGUAGGGGGCUAGCGUUAUCCGGAUUUACUGGGCGUAAAGGGUGCGUAGGCGGUCUUUCAAGUCAGGAGUGAAAGGCUACGGCUCAACCGUAGUAAGCUCUUGAAACUGGGAGACUUGAGUGCAGGAGAGGAGAGUGGAAUUCCUAGUGUAGCGGUGAAAUGCGUAGAUAUUAGGAGGAACACCAGUUGCGAAGGCGGCUCUCUGGACUGUAACUGACGCUGAGGCACGAAAGCGUGGGGAGCAAACAGGAUUAGAUACCCCAGUAGUC
RNAcentral lists this ribosomal RNA (439 nucleotides) under uncultured bacterium. Its description in RNAcentral is "partial 16S ribosomal RNA". It matches the Rfam family "Bacterial small subunit ribosomal RNA", at positions 338 to 795 of the family's 1533-position model. The record is from RNAcentral.